ACAAACUUAGCAUGUAACUCAUUCAGAAUAAGUUUAUCAACACACACGUACGAGCUUUCAAGCAAGACAAGGGGUGCAAUAUUAAGGCAUAAAUUUACAAGUCCACAAUUAAGCCAAGACCUUACACUCUCAAGUUCAUUCUAGUUUUUUUUUUGCAGGUGCGAACAUCCGGGGCUGCAUUCUGGCCUUUUUACCCAUCUUAGUCCUAACACUAAAAAAAGGAAAACCUACCUAACCCAAUUCAAGAAAAACCCUUGGAAAAGAAUCGUGGUCAAAAGAAAAACCAAGGGGGACUUAAUACACUACAUAAAUAAAGAAAAAUAAAAAAAAAAUAAAAAAAUCUACAUGGAAUACUUCCCUCAAGAUUACUGUCCAAGUGGUC
This 382-nucleotide long non-coding RNA is filed under the name Nicotiana benthamiana. Its description in RNAcentral is "long non-coding RNA (NBEN_LNC004800)". The record is from RNAcentral. Lineage: Eukaryota; Viridiplantae; Streptophyta; Magnoliopsida; Solanales; Solanaceae.